This 540-nucleotide ribosomal RNA is filed under the name Flavobacterium sp. FlavoEI_ChT7r1CF3_B08_58. RNAcentral's name for it is "bacterial SSU rRNA". It matches the Rfam family "Bacterial small subunit ribosomal RNA", at positions 66 to 607 of the family's 1533-position model. Lineage: Bacteria; Pseudomonadati; Bacteroidota; Flavobacteriia; Flavobacteriales; Flavobacteriaceae. The record is from RNAcentral.
GGGGUAUAUGUCUUCGGAUAUAGAGACCGGCGCACGGGUGCGUAACGCGUAUGCAAUCUACCUUUCACAGAGGGAUAGCCCAGAGAAAUUUGGAUUAAUACCUCAUAGUAUUAUUGAGUGGCAUCACUUAAUAAUUAAAGUCACAACGGUGAAAGAUGAGCAUGCGUCCCAUUAGCUAGUUGGUAAGGUAACGGCUUACCAAGGCAACGAUGGGUAGGGGUCCUGAGAGGGAGAUCCCCCACACUGGUACUGAGACACGGACCAGACUCCUACGGGAGGCAGCAGUGAGGAAUAUUGGACAAUGGGCGCAAGCCUGAUCCAGCCAUGCCGCGUGCAGGAUGACGGUCCUAUGGAUUGUAAACUGCUUUUGUACGAGAAGAAACACUGCUUCGUGAAGCAGCUUGACGGUAUCGUAAGAAUAAGGAUCGGCUAACUCCGUGCCAGCAGCCGCGGUAAUACGGAGGAUCCAAGCGUUAUCCGGAAUCAUUGGGUUUAAAGGGUCCGUAGGCGGUUUAGUAAGUCAGUGGUGAAAGCCCAUCG